GACGAACGCUGGCGGCGUGCCUAAUACAUGCAAGUAGAACGCUGAAGGAGGAGCUUGCUUCUCUGGAUGAGUUGCGAACGGGUGAGUAACGCGUAGGUAACCUGCCUGGUAGCGGGGGAUAACUAUUGGAAACGAUAGCUAAUACCGCAUAAUAGCAGUUGUUGCAUGACAACUGUUUGAAAGGUGCAAUUGCACCACUACCAGAUGGACCUGCGUUGUAUUAGCUAGUUGGUGGGGUAACGGCUCACCAAGGCGACGAUACAUAGCCGACCUGAGAGGGUGAUCGGCCACACUGGGACUGAGACACGGCCCAGACUCCUACGGGAGGCAGCAGUAGGGAAUCUUCGGCAAUGGACGGAAGUCUGACCGAGUAACGCCGCGUGAGUGAAGAAGGUUUUCGGAUCGUAAAGCUCUGUUGUAAGAGAAGAACGAGUGUGAGAGUGGAAAGUUCACACUGUGACGGUAUCUUACCAGAAAGGGACGGCUAACUACGUG
This 495-nucleotide ribosomal RNA is filed under the name uncultured bacterium. Its description in RNAcentral is "partial 16S ribosomal RNA". It matches the Rfam family "Bacterial small subunit ribosomal RNA", at positions 28 to 507 of the family's 1533-position model. The record is from RNAcentral.